RNAcentral lists this ribosomal RNA (586 nucleotides) under uncultured bacterium. RNAcentral's name for it is "bacterial SSU rRNA". It matches the Rfam family "Bacterial small subunit ribosomal RNA", at positions 338 to 916 of the family's 1533-position model. The record is from RNAcentral.
CCUACGGGAGGCAGCAGUGGGGAAUUUUGGACAAUGGGCGAAAGCCUGAUCCAGCCAUGCCGCGUGCAGGAUGAAGGCCUUCGGGUUGUAAACUGCUUUUGUACGGAACGAAAAGCCUCUUUCUAAUAAAGAGGGGUCAUGACGGUACCGUAAGAAUAGGCACCGGCUAACUACGUGCCAGCAGCCGCGGUAAUACGUAGGGUGCGAGCGUUAAUCGGAAUUACUGGGCGUAAAGCGUGCGCAGGCGGUUAUAUAAGACAGUUGUGAAAUCCCCGGGCUCAACCUGGGAACUGCAUCUGUGACUGUAUAGCUAGAGUACGGUAGAGGGGGAUGGAAUUCCGCGUGUAGCAGUGAAAUGCGUAGAUAUGCGGAGGAACACCGAUGGCGAAGGCAAUCCCCUGGACCUGUACUGACGCUCAUGCACGAAAGCGUGGGGAGCAAACAGGAUUAGAUACCCUGGUAGUCCACGCCCUAAACGAUGUCAACUGGUUGUUGGGAAUUCACUUUCUCAGUAACGAAGCUAACGCGUGAAGUUGACCGCCUGGGGAGUACGGCCGCAAGGUUGAAACUUAAAUUGAAUUGACGG